GAUGUAAAAAAGAAAGAGUAAGAGAGUGUAAAUGAGAGAGGUUAAUGCUAGGAGAUGUAAAAAAGAAAGAGUAAGAGAGUGUAAAUGAGAGAGGUUAAUGCUAGGAGAUGUAAAAAAGAAAGAGUAAGAGAGUGUAAAUGAGAGAGGUUAAUGCUAGGAGAUGUAAAAAAGAAAGAGUAAGAGACUGUAAAUGAGAGAGGUUAAUACUAGGAGAUGUAAAAAAGAAAGAGUAAGAGAGUGUAAAUGAGAGAGGUUAAUGCUAGGAGAUGUAAAAAAGAAAGAGUAAGAGAGUGUAAAUGAGAGAGGUUAAUGCUAGGAGAUGUAAAAAAGAAAGAGUAAGAGAGUGUAAAUGAGAGAGGUUAAUACUAGGAGAUGUAAAAAAGAAAGAGUAAGAGAGUGUAAAUGAGAGAGGUUAAUGCUAGGAGAUGUAAAAAAGAAAGAGUAAGAGACUGUAAAUGAGAGAGGUUAAUGCUAGGAGAUGUAAAAAAGAAAGAGUAAGAGACUGUAAAUGAGAGAGGUUAAUGCUAGGAGAUGUAAAAAAGAAAGAGUAAGAGACUGUAAAUGAGAGAGGUUAAUGCUAGGAGAUGUAAAAAAGAAAGAGUAAGAGACUGUAAAUGAGAGAGGUUAAUGCUAGGAGAUGUAAAAAAGAAAGAGUAAGAGAGUGUAAAUGAGAGAGGUUAAUGCUAGGAGAUGUAAAAAAGAAAGAGUAAGAGACUGUAAAUGAGAGAGGUUAAUACUAGGAGAUGUAAAAAAGAAAGAGUAAGAGAGUGUAAAUGAGAGAGGUUAAUACUAGGAGAUGUAAAAAAGAAAGAGUAAGAGACUGUAAAUGAGAGAGGUUAAUGCUAGGAGAUGUAAAAAAGAAAGAGUAAGAGAGUGUAAAUGAGAGAGGUUAAU
Molecule: long non-coding RNA, 894 nt
Organism: Oncorhynchus keta (chum salmon)
Lineage: Eukaryota; Metazoa; Chordata; Actinopteri; Salmoniformes; Salmonidae
Exons: 6
Source: RefSeq, a predicted model, not a curated record